UACGGAGGAUCCAAGCGUUAUCCGGAAUCAUUGGGUUUAAAGGGUCCGUAGGCGGUUUUGUAAGUCAGUGGGGAAAGCCCAUCGCUCAACGGUGGAACGGCCAUUGAUACUGCAAGACUUGAAUUAUUAGGAAGUAACUAGAAUAUGUAGUGUAGCGGUGAAAUGCUUAGAUAUUACAUGGAAUACCAAUUGCGAAGGCAGGUUACUACUAAUAUAUUGACGCUGAUGGACGAAAGCGUGGGGAGCGAACAGG
This 253-nucleotide ribosomal RNA is filed under the name uncultured bacterium. Its description in RNAcentral is "partial 16S ribosomal RNA". It matches the Rfam family "Bacterial small subunit ribosomal RNA", at positions 524 to 776 of the family's 1533-position model. The record is from RNAcentral.